This 253-nucleotide ribosomal RNA is filed under the name uncultured bacterium. RNAcentral's name for it is "partial 16S ribosomal RNA". It matches the Rfam family "Bacterial small subunit ribosomal RNA", at positions 524 to 776 of the family's 1533-position model. The record is from RNAcentral.
UACGUAGGGUGCGAGCGUUAAUCGGAAUUACUGGGCGUAAAGCGUGCGCAGGCGGUUAUGUAAGAGCGAGGUGAAAUCCCCGGGCUCAACCUGGGAACUGCCUUUGUGACUGCAUGACAAGAGUACGGCAGAGGGGGAUGGAAUUCCCCGUGUAGCAGUGAAAUGCGUAGAUAUGCGGAGGGACACCGAUGGCGAAGGCAAUCCCCUGGGCCUGUACUGACGCUCAUGCACGACAGCGUGGGGAGCAAACAGG